CUCUCCCUCUCGUGAUGGGUCCACUUUGCAUGGUGAUAUUUUUUCCAAGUGACCUAAAUUCAUCCAAGUUGUGAAAAUCUCCCUUAAGUUUUCUUUGGCUGCUAUCCUCUUGAUUGGGUUGGGCUUUAUUGCGGGUUGAUUUCUCUUAGUUGUCCACCUCUUCAUGGUCCAUGCUCACAUCAUCACCUCCCUCUUUAAAAAGAUUUUUUCUCGAAUCUGGAUACACAAAAAAAAGGGAAAGAUC
RNAcentral lists this long non-coding RNA (244 nucleotides) under Carica papaya (papaya). RNAcentral's name for it is "long non-coding RNA (CPAP_LNC004479)". The record is from RNAcentral. Lineage: Eukaryota; Viridiplantae; Streptophyta; Magnoliopsida; Brassicales; Caricaceae.